Molecule: long non-coding RNA, 470 nt
Organism: Cottoperca gobio
Lineage: Eukaryota; Metazoa; Chordata; Actinopteri; Perciformes; Bovichtidae
Source: Ensembl
GAUAAUUAACACUUUAUCAUGCCUGAGACUGUUUAAAAGUACUUUACAAACAGUGACUUAGAAUAACAGUGGGAUUUGGCAGGAGCUGCUGUCACCAAUACAGCUCAGACUGCUGAGGUUUUAUAGCUACAUUUAAACUGCAUGGAUUUUCCAGGAUGCAAGGCAGAACUGAUCAAAACCAAGCAUCCAAAAAAACUCAACUGAAAAGCCGGAGAGGGGAAGAAGUGAAGGUGGAGAGAUGGUCGAAGAAGCUCUGGUGAGGGGAACCAGGUGAUGCAGGAGAGCAGGGAAGGAGCUGUUUGGCAGGGGAAACACACUGGGAGCAGGGAAGGAGCUGAUUGGUCGGGAGAAUCUCUGGGACUAACGAGGCUGAUCCACAGCAGCUCAAAAUGUCAGGUACUGCAUUAAUGAGAAAAACAUGGAUGUCAGAGCCUGAACUCAUGGGCACUCUCUGCUGCCCGUCUCCAAGG